CGGGACGGGACCACUUGUUAUACCCGGAGAAGAGUUUCUUCAGGAGGCGCUCCUCCGCAUGGGCUCGCGUUUCCACGUGGCCGAAAGCGGGGAAGAUGCUGGCACACAGCAGGAGGAGGAGGUUUCCCUUAGACACGAGAAAUCCCAUUGUGGAGCAGAGCUCGGGCUUUAGGACGCAGCGUCUCCCGUCGGGGCAACUUUUCCUCUCCGAGUCUCCGGAUCCUCCGCCUUCAUUCCCCUCGGCUCCUUUCUCUCCCUCUUUUCAGAAGGGCAUCACAACUGAUUUAUAUUCUUCCCAUUCUUUGCUUCCCAGCUCUCCCCGCUAGGAAGAUGCUCUUCCCCAGGAUACGGAUGGACACUUGUUCUCGCUCGCAAGAGAUACAGGAGGGCUGCAGGGAGCUCCGGUAAGGAUGCACAGAACACCCAGCCUUCCUGCCUGCCCUGCUCGCUCCUCUCUCUGCUCCGGGGCGCUUUGGCUGCU
This 481-nucleotide long non-coding RNA is filed under the name Gallus gallus (chicken). The record is from RNAcentral. Lineage: Eukaryota; Metazoa; Chordata; Aves; Galliformes; Phasianidae.